ACCAUCGCACUGCAUUCUCACAGGAUAACGAUUAAUGCUGAAGGUUUUGACCAACUAUUCGGAGGAAGGGCUAUUAGCAUUUGUAUCAUCACUUUUGAAAUAUUCCUCCUCCCCAUAUUCAUCAUAUUCUGCUCCUGGCUGAGAUAACGCUUGUAAAGCAAGCUCAUAGAGUGGUGGAUGUAGCCUAGUUGCUUCACUUGUUCCUUUACUUAGACUUGAUUCGGCUUCUGUUCUUUUGGGAGCCAUAUCUAAAAUUAACAGGAACAUAAAUAAAUAUUUUAUAGUUGAUUAAUGCAUCGUUAAAAAUGGACAACAGUAAAUCUAAUAAGCAAAAAAAAACAUAACAGUUCCAACAGAUCACUUAUCUGUUGCACCAGGUAGUAUAUCUGUUGCAGCAUAUAACAAAUCUAUUGUAGAAGAUGAGCAAUCUAUUGCAACAAUGCAAAAUGUAUCACUCAUCUUUUAAGAUAGAUGAGUGGUCUGUACAAUAGAUCACAGAUUAUUGCAACAUAAGUGAUCUGCUGGAAUAGUUAAAUAAUCUAUUACAACGGAUGAGUAAUCUAUUGCAAUAAUACAAAACACAUCACUCAUCUAUUGAGAAAAAAUAAAUGGUCUAUACAGAAGACCACACAUCUAUUGCAACAUUAUCUGUUACAAUAUAUGAGUAAUCUAUUAGAACUGUUAAAUAACCUGUAGCAAUGGUCUAUGCAGUAGAUCACACAUCCAUUGCAACAUCAUCUGUUGUAAUAUAUAAGUGAUUUAUUGGAACAGUUAAAGAACCUGUAGCAACGGCUGAGUAAUCUGUUGAGACAAUACAAAACAUAUCAUUCAUCUGUUGAGAAAGAUGAAUGGUCUGUACAACGGAUCACACAUUUGUUGCAAUAUAUGAGUGAUCUGUUGGAAUAGUUAACUAACCUGUAGCAACCGCUGAGUAAUCUAUUGCGAUAAUAUAAAAUAUAUCACUCAUCCAUUGAGAAAGAUGAAUGGUCUGUGCAACAGAUCACAUAUCUGUUACAACACAUGAGUGAUCUGUUAGAACAAUUAUUAACAGUUAAUAUUGUUUAGAUUUCUUCUAACAUUGGAUCGUCUAUCACGGCAGAUGAAUGAUCAUUUAGAAAAAUCAUGUCUUGGACAUGUCCUGUUGGAAAAGUUGAUAGGAUUUUAUCCAACAGGAGGUUUAUCUAUUGCAUCAGAUCAUUAAUUCGAUGCUUCUUCCGUUGCAUCAGAUGGUUAAUCAGCUGAAUCAGAUUUUUUAUCCGAUGCUUAAUCUAUUGCAACAUAUGGUUAAUCUGUUGCAUUAGAUACAUAAACUGUUGCAUCAUCUGACAAAUAUGUUGCAUCAGAUGGUUAAUAUGUUGCACCAGAUGCAUAAUUUAUUGGAUAAAACCAAAAAUAGUAACACGUUUUCUUCAACAAAAAAAUAAUAAUUUUUACCAAGAACAAGAACACAACAAAUCAACUCAAAUCAUUGUUUUGUUUUUAUAAACACAAACAACAAAAAUCAAACUUCAAAAAAAUGCAACAAAUAACAAAAAAUCAUAAUUCACUUUGAAAAGAGAAGAGAAGAAAUACCAGAAAUUAGGAUUUUAUUGAGACCGCAUUUCAAAGUAAAGCAACAAAUAUUGAAAUUGUUAACCAAUACUAUAAGAGAAGUUGACUCAAGUUCCUCGUUUUCUUCAAACUAAAAAGACCAUAAAUUUUUACCUGUGAAAGAAGAAAAGGAACGAUGAUGAAUUCAAAGUUGUUGUGGCCGAAGAGCAAGGCUGUCAUAUCGAUUGAUGGUUGAAGAAUUCAAAGCUGUUGUGGCCGGAGAGCAAGGUUGUCAUGUCGAUUGAAGGUUGAAGUCGAAAAGGAACUCGAAGCCCAACUAUUUAUCGUCGGAUGUUGAAGUCAUGAGGAUUGAAAGGAGAAAUUUACAAAACUGUUGGUUGGGAGAGAGUUGAGAGAAGCUGUCGAGAGAGAGGAGAGAGACUGGUUGAUUUGGAUUGAAGAGGGGUGUGGGUUGGGUUGAUUUGUAUUUUUAAAAAGAUUAGAAAGUUUUAAAAAUAUUAAUCAAGUCCACAAUUAACUUAAUCAAGUUUUCUAAUGAUGUUUGACCCUUUAAGUUGGUCAAUGUCACCAAACCUUCAUUCAAGACUUAAAAGACACCUUUCCUUCAAUUUUCUCAACAAGCUUUGUAUAAACACAUUUAUCUACACAUGCAAAAUCACUACUUAAUGAAACAUGAUCAAAUUUCUCAUUUCAUUGAUUAUGAACUUGUUCAGACCAUUUAAAGACUUAAUCAAUUUACAAGGCUUAAUCAAUUUACAAAUUUUAUUUUUAUGACCUGCUACUACACAACCUUCAAGUUGCUCCAUAUAAAUUUUCUCCUCCAAAUUAUCAUUUAAAAGUAUAGUUUUAACAUUCAUUUGGUGAAUAAACAAUUUAUGAGGGAAUGUCAAUGCAAAAUUUUGUUACUAGAAUAUAAGUAUUAAAACAAUUAAUAUUUUAUUUUUGAGUAAAACAUUUAGCAGUCAAUCUAUCUUUUUAUUUAUGAAUAAAAUCAUCAAGAUAAUAUUUCUUUCUAAAAAUUCAUUUACAACCAAUGAAUUUAAUUUUUGGAGGUAAAUCAACUAAUUCUCAAGUAUUAUUUUGUAAGAUGAAAUUUAUUUCAAAUUUAAUAGCUUCUUUCUAAUGAGGUGCGUGAGGAGAAAAAAUUGCUUCAGAAAAAAAUUAAAAGAAUCAUUAUCAACAAUAUAAUAUAAGUAUAAAGAUCAUUAUCAUUUUUUUUUAUAUCCUUGAUGUUUUAAUUCUACUUAAUUCCUCACUUUUCGAAAUAUUUUUAAAACUAAAAAUACUUUAUUUUUCAAAAGUAUGAGCAUGAGAAAUAUUAUCACGUUUUGAAAAAAAAUAUAUAUUCUAAGAAAAAUUAAUAUUUUUUGUUUCAACUAUAGUAUCUUGUUCAAGCAUAUCACUAUUGAGCACAAAAAACUUAUAUGCAGCACUAUUAUCAGUUUAACUAAUAUACAUAUAAGUAGUAGUCUUGGACCUAAUUUUUCUUUUCUGAGGGUCUGGUAAUGUGACUUUGGCAAGGCACCCGCACACUUUCAAUAUUUUAACUUAGGGGAUAACCUUUUCACAAUUCAUAAGGAGGUUUUCUAACUUUCUUGUAAGGAGUUCUAUUUUGUAAAUGACAAGGAGAUAAAAUAGCUUCAUUCAAAGAAUUAUCAUAUGCACAAAAACCAGCAAACAUACAUUUAUCAUUUUUUUUAAAGUCCUAUUUUUUCUUUCGGCUACUUCAUUCAGUUCAGGUGAGUACAAAGGAAUAACAUAGUGAAUAAUACCUUUUUUUUACAAAAGUCAUUCAACAAAAUAUAUUCGCAACGUCGAUCAGAUCUUCUUCUUUUGAUCUUACUAUUCAAUUGAUUUUCUACUUCUGUUUUGUAUAAUAAAAACAUAUGAAAUGCUUCAUCUUUAUUUCUCAAUAAAUAUAUUUUGGUAUAUCUAGAAAAAUCAUCAAAAAAUGUGAUAUAGUCAUAGUUUGCUUCAAGUCUCCCAAAUCAGUAUGCACUAAAUUUAAUAAAUUAAAUUCUCUAAAAAUAGAAGCAUGAGACUUUUUAAAUUGUUUAGCUUCAACACAAAUUUCACGCAAUGACAGAAAAAUUAACAUUAAAAAGAAGACCUUGAGAAUACAUUUUCUAGAUAAACUAACAUGUCCAAGUCUAGCAUGCCAUAAGUCAAAAGUAUCAAUCAAAUAGGCAGAAAUACUAGUAUUUUCAUUCAUAACAUCUAGUACAAAUAAACCACGACUACAAUAACUUUUGCCAACAAAAAUAUUAUUUUUUGUUUAAAAACUUUGUUGAACACAAAUAAAAUCUUCACCGGCUUUUUCUAAUAAAUCCACAAAGAUCAAAUUGGCUCAAAUAUUAGGAACAUGUAACACUUCAGUUAAAGCCAAAAAAAAAAUAAAAAAAAAUUAGAAGUGAGUUUAAAGAGAACUUUUCUUUUUUCAAGGACUUUAGUUGUUUUGAAUCACCAAGAUAUGCAAGUUUUUCUCCUUUAUUGAUUUACGCUUAAGAAACAAAAUUAUGUUUAUUGACACAAAUAUGCCUAGUAGCAUCCGAAUCUAUCAUUCAAUCACUCACACAAGCCACAAUAUUCACUUGAAAAAUGACCUCCACAACAAUAUCUGUUUUACUCAAAUUAAUUUUUGGCUCAUCAAGAUUGUCAAUUUUUUCAACUCUUUUCUUGAAGGCUUUAUUAAAGAUUUCGGACUUGUAAUCAUGUUCAUAUUCAUCAAAAAAAAGUAGAGAUGAUAGUAUAAUUACAUACCCUAGAAGCAUAAUUUUAAAGGUUGAGUAAUUUGACGAAGAACAAGAAUGAAA
Molecule: long non-coding RNA, 4364 nt
Filed under: Capsicum annuum
Lineage: Eukaryota; Viridiplantae; Streptophyta; Magnoliopsida; Solanales; Solanaceae
Description: long non-coding RNA (CANN_LNC000342)
Source: RNAcentral